This 266-nucleotide ribosomal RNA is filed under the name uncultured Archaeospora. Its description in RNAcentral is "partial small subunit ribosomal RNA". It matches the Rfam family "Eukaryotic small subunit ribosomal RNA", at positions 605 to 877 of the family's 1831-position model. The record is from RNAcentral. Lineage: Eukaryota; Fungi; Glomeromycota; Glomeromycetes; Archaeosporales; Archaeosporaceae.
UAAAGUUGUUGCAGUUAAAAAGCUCGUAGUUGAAUUUUAAGCCUGACCGGGCGGUCCGUCUCUGGCGAGUACUGUCCUGCUGUCGGGUCCAUCCUUCUGGUGAGCCGAUAUGUCCUUUGUUGGGUGUGUCUGGGAACCAGAACCAUUACCUUGAAAAAAUUAGAGUGUUUAAAGCGGGCUUUUGCUUGAAUAGAUUAGCAUGGAAUAAUAAAAUAGGACGUUGGUUCUAUUUUGUUGGUCUAGGACCACCGUAAUGAUUAAUAGGG